Molecule: ribosomal RNA, 115 nt
Filed under: uncultured Actinomycetes bacterium
Lineage: Bacteria; Bacillati; Actinomycetota; Actinomycetes
Description: uncultured actinobacterium partial 16S ribosomal RNA
Source: RNAcentral
AGGUACCGUCACUUUCGCUUCUUCCCUGCUGAAAGCGGUUUACAACCCGAAGGCCUUCAUCCCGCACGCGGCGUCGCUGGGUCAGACUUUCGUCCAUUGCCCAAUAUUCCCCACU